This 253-nucleotide ribosomal RNA is filed under the name uncultured bacterium. RNAcentral describes it as "partial 16S ribosomal RNA". It matches the Rfam family "Bacterial small subunit ribosomal RNA", at positions 524 to 776 of the family's 1533-position model. The record is from RNAcentral.
UACGGGGGGGGCAAGCGUUGUUCGGAAUUACUGGGCGUAAAGGGCUCGUAGGUGGCCAACUAAGUCAUACGUGAAAUCCCUCGGCUUAACCGGGGAACUGCGUCUGAUACUGGAUGGCUUGAGGUUGGGAGAGGGAUGCGGAAUUCCAGGUGUAGCGGUGAAAUGCGUAGAUAUCUGGAGGAACACCGGUGGCGAAGGCGGCGUUCUGGACUGCAACUGACACUGAAAAACGAAAGCCAGGGGAGCAAACGGG